UCGCGUCUGCUGUGAAAACUGGAGGCUCAACCUCCAGCCUGCAGUGGGUACGGGCAAACUAGAGUGCGGUAGGGGAGAUUGGAAUUCCUGGUGUAGCGGUGGAAUGCGCAGAUAUCAGGAGGAACACCGAUGGCGAAGGCAGAUCUCUGGGCCGUAACUGACGCUGAGGAGCGAAAGCAUGGGGAGCGAACAGGAUUAGAUACCCUGGUAGUCCAUGCCGUAAACGUUGGGCGCUAGAUGUGGGGACCAUUCCACGGUUUCCGUGUCGCAGCUAACGCAUUAAGCGCCCCGCCUGGGGAGUACGGCCGCAAGGCUAAAACUCGAAGGAAUUGACGGGGGCCCGCACAAGCGGCGGAGCAUGCGGAUUAAUUCGAUGCAACGCGAAGAACCUUACCAAGGCUUGACAUUUACGAGAACGCUGCAGAAAUGCAGAACUCUUUGGACACUCGUAAACAGGCGGUGCAUGGUUGUCGUCAGCUCGUGUCGUGAGAUGUUGGGUUAAGUCCCGCAACGAGCGCAACCCUCGUUCUAUGUUGCCAGCGCGUUAUGGCGGGAACUCAUAGGAGACUGCCGGGGUCAACUCGGAGGAAGGUGGGGAUGACGUCAAAUCAUCAUGCCCCUUAUGUCUUGGGCUUCACGCAUGCUACAAUGGCCGGUACAAAGGGCUGCAAUACCGUAAGGUGGAGCGAAUCCCAAAAAGCCGGUCUCAGUUCGGAUUGUAGACUGCAACUCGUCUACAUGAAGUUGG
RNAcentral lists this ribosomal RNA (748 nucleotides) under uncultured Actinomycetes bacterium. Its description in RNAcentral is "bacterial SSU rRNA". It matches the Rfam family "Bacterial small subunit ribosomal RNA", at positions 583 to 1329 of the family's 1533-position model. Lineage: Bacteria; Bacillati; Actinomycetota; Actinomycetes. The record is from RNAcentral.